Alligator mississippiensis (American alligator) is the source of this 3860-nucleotide RNA transcript. It is a transcript of the gene named double PHD fingers 3, with no coding region annotated. The record is from RefSeq and is a predicted model, not a curated record. The transcript is spliced from 13 exons. Lineage: Eukaryota; Metazoa; Chordata; Crocodylia; Alligatoridae.
UAGCAGAGACCGAGCUCCGCCCGCGGCCCCUGAUUGGACCGCGGGCCGGUAUCCCGCGCGCGGAUUGGCUGGCCGCUUCCCCUGAGCGAACCUUUAGAACUCCGAGGCACAAUAUUCUGUUACAUUGUAGCAAAAUGGCGACUGUCAUUCACAACCCCCUGAAAGCACUUGGGGACCAGUUCUACAAAGAAGCCAUCGAACACUGCCGCAGCUACAACUCCCGGCUCUGUGCUGAGCGCAGCGUCCGCCUUCCCUUCCUGGAUUCACAGACUGGGGUGGCUCAGAACAAUUGCUAUAUUUGGAUGGAGAAGAGGCACCGGGGACCAGGCCUGGCUCCGGGUCAGCUGUACACGUAUCCUGCUCGCUGCUGGCGCAAAAAGAGACGCCUACACCCUCCAGAGGAUUCCAGGCUGAAGCUGCUGGAAAUUAAGCCUGAAGUUGAUCUGCCUCUCAAGAAGGAUGGGUUCACAUCAGAGGGGACCACGCUGGAGGCCCUGCUGCGUGGUGAAGGGAUUGAGAAAAAAAUGGAUACUAAAGAAGAAGACACUAUACAGGAAAUCCAGAGGGUUCUGGAAAAUGAUGAAAAUGCAGAUGAAGUAAAUGAGGAAGAAGAUUUGGAAGAAGAUAUUCCAAAACGAAAGAACAGAGCCAGAGGAAGGGCUCGCGGAUCUGGAGGCGGAAGAAGAAGGAAUGAUGCUGCCUCCCAGGAUGACCAUGACAAACCAUAUGUUUGUGACAUCUGUGGCAAGCGUUACAAGAAUAGGCCUGGACUGAGCUACCAUUAUGCUCACACUCACCUAGCCAGUGAAGAGGGAGAUGAAGCUCGGGAGCAGGAGACACGUUCCUCACCUGUGCACAGAAAUGAAAAUCACAAACCCCAGAAAGGACCAGAUGGGGCCAUCAUUCCCAAUAACUACUGUGACUUCUGCCUUGGCGGCUCCAACAUGAACAAAAAAAGUGGCCGGCCAGAGGAGCUCGUGUCAUGCUCAGACUGUGGGCGCUCUGGACACCCAACCUGCCUGCAGUUCACCACAAACAUGACUGAGGCUGUCAAAACCUAUCAGUGGCAAUGCAUUGAGUGUAAAUCCUGCAGCCUUUGUGGGACCUCUGAGAAUGAUGACCAGCUGCUCUUCUGUGAUGACUGUGACCGUGGCUAUCAUAUGUACUGUUUAAACCCACCUGUCUUUGAGCCCCCAGAAGGGAGCUGGAGUUGUCAUUUGUGCCGGGAGCUACUCAGAGAGAGAGCAUCAGCUUUUGGCUUCCAGGCCUGAGGGGUUCCAUCAAUCAAGCUGCAGUUUGCUCUUUGACUUGUGGUACCAGCACACAUUUUCUGUCCAGAACACAAGACACAACACACAUCAAAGAGAAUGGACACUCAAACAUAAGAAGAGUCCCUUUGGAAAGAACAAACUGCUAAUGGAAAUGGUGGUUUCUGCCUCUCUGAAGCCUUCAGCUCAUGACUAGAUACAUCUCUGGAAGACAAGUUUUAAUCAAAUCAAGGAAGAAGAAUUGUUUUCAAAAAGGGCGUGGGCCAAGCAAAGGCAGGUGGCUGGACAAUAUUGAGAAAGGACAUUCAUCCCUUAUCCCAGCAUCUGAGAGAGAAAAGGUUCUCUUUCUUCUGCACCACUCUGCAUGAUAAACUGAACUGAGGUGAAAGAGAUUUUAGUUUGAAUUAGUCAAAAAGUAAAAGUAGAAAGGGGUAUUCUGUCACUGUUUACUCUUGUGGUUUUUUAAAUGGAAGUUCUUACCCUUUUUCAAACUUGUAAUGCCCUUUUCCAUAGUAGGACCAUCCUAGGGGACCCCACAUUAUUCCUCUCACAUUAAACAACAUGAAAUAUGAAGACGGUCAGAGGUCUAUUCCCAGGUUGAGAAACCCUGAUCAUUUUUACUGUGCAUGUAUACAUUUCAAAGUGAAAUUAUUGGAACAUGGUGACUCUACUGAAAUCUCUCUUAAUGUGUUAACUGUGGUGCCAAGCUAAAAUGGGUGAAAGAAGACAAAGAUCCAUAAUUUUAAUGAAGAAAGACAAUUUAGGUCAUCCUGAAAAAGGGAUGGGCCCGAGGAAGCUUUCUAACUUUCGGCACUUUGGUGACACCCCAUUUUCUAGAACCUCUUCUCCAAAAGUAGUUGUACAGGCUUCAGUAGCAGAAGAUGUUUUUUUCUUUUGCUCCCCUACUUCAAACUGGAAAUGUUUGUUGAUAUACAUUUGGAUUUUGUGGAUAUGUAGGGGAGUCGAUGGGGUGGCUAGGCCCUGGGACUUCUUACUAAGAUAAUCUAAUGCCAGUCAAGAUACCCUAUGGGGGAAUCUUGGCCUGGUAGCAAUUGAAAGUCCCCAGAGCUUUUGGUUUUCAAGGGAAAGGUGAUGCAGAGGGAACGACUGUUUUUCACGAAGCUUUGUCAGAAAAAUACUACAGCCUCAGAUUAAGUUUCUUGUCCUGUCAAUCCCCAGCUAAAUGCAGAAUGCCAUGUAGAGGGAGGGGGAUAUGUCCCACAUGGAUGGAGCAAGUGAAAAUAUGAUGGAACCACACAUUCCAAGUCACUAUUUUAGGGAAAAGGGCUGCUUGUACAUGCCAUGGGGGUUUACUUUGGUUUAAUUCUCUCUAAAUUGUAGUGGUGGAUUUUUAAAAACACUGUGUCAAUUUAGGGAGAAUUAAACUGAAGUAAACCCCUGUGGCAUAUAUACAAGGGUCAGAUCCGAUCCUUACUUGCCUCUCCAGUGGCCAGUGGUGGCGGGGGGGGAGGGGGCAGCUGCCAGUGGGCCAAGCAGUCCUGGAGCUGGAGGGGGGAUGGUGCUUCCCCCCAUGGCGGAGCCCCCCAGGUGCUACCUGCCCACGGGCACCCAGUCUGGGCAGUCCUGGGGGCACUGCAGCCAUGGAGGGAAGCACUGCCCCCCCCCGCAGCUAUGGAGGGAAGCACUGGGCCCCCAUGCAGCUUAGGCAGGCAGGCUCCAGGGAGGAAAAAAAAAAAGAUCAAGAUUGCCACUUCUUUUUUUUCCUUCAGUGGAGCCUGCCUGCACAGGCUGCUGUUGGGCUGCCUGCACAACCCCUGAACUGCAUGGGGCUUUGUGCUUCCCUCCAUGGCUAAGGUAGGUGGUGUUUUAUUUUGCUACACCCCAAAGUCAUUUAAUGUGCAAUAUGCCGGUGACAGUGUAAACAGCCACACCAGUAAAGCAUUUAAGCUGCUUUAAAGGCCAAUUUUGUGGUGUGUACAAAAGCCCCAAAACUCUCCCUUGGCAUAUGCUUUGGUGGUAGGUUACAUGGGACUAUAGAACCUUGGGAACCCUACAUUUUAGAUUCCUCUCCCUUUUGUUACAAGUGUAUUGAAAGAUGUUCAUAUCUCCAAGAGUAGAAAAAAAAUAUCAAUUUGUUAGUUCCCUCUAAUUUCUUUCCUUUUUCAGCUAUACACACUACCUCCUAGUUGUCUGUUGCUGGCCUGUGUGGGGCCUAAUUGGAGUUUACAGAAUACUGCGUGCAUCUAAGUGUGCUGCCAGGAUUGCAUAGUAACGGUGGGUACUGCACGGUCAUUUAGUACUUGCUUUAGCAAGUACUAAAUGACCGUGCAGUACCAACUGCGCAGUGGGGUGCAUGUGUAGAUGUGCUCACAGUAUAGUAUUGGAUUUACUCUGGCAGCUAGGGAUUACAGGUGAGGGAAGCAGUGCAUUUUUGUAAGAAUAGCUGUUUAUGUUAUUUUCUCUACUUUCCCCUAAAAAUUGUGGGCCUUUUUUAAAAACUCUGAAGUGACUGUAUUGUUACACUAUAUGUGUAUGUGUAUGGUUUUGUUUUGAUCUGACCUGCCUGGAAAUGCCCUUUGAUCCUCCAUCCCAGUUUUCUAAUGUGAAAAGCCCUGAUGUCUUUUGGGGGGG